UACGUAGGUGGCAAGCGUUGUCCGGAAUCAUUGGGCGUAAAGCGCACGUAGGCGGUCUGUUAUGUCGGAUGUGAAAGCCCUCGGCUCAACUGAGGAAGUGCAUCCGAAACUGGCAGGCUAGAGUACUAAAGAGGGUCGCGGAAUUCCCGGUGUAGAGGUGAAAUUCGUAGAUAUCGGGAGGAACACCGGUGGCGAAGGCGGCGACCUGGGUAGAUACUGACGCUGAGGUGCGAAAGCGUGGGGAGCAAACAGG
This 253-nucleotide ribosomal RNA is filed under the name uncultured bacterium. RNAcentral's name for it is "partial 16S ribosomal RNA". It matches the Rfam family "Bacterial small subunit ribosomal RNA", at positions 524 to 776 of the family's 1533-position model. The record is from RNAcentral.